Long non-coding RNA from Culicoides brevitarsis, 443 nucleotides. RefSeq lists it as uncharacterized. The transcript has 3 exons. The record is from RefSeq and is a predicted model, not a curated record. Lineage: Eukaryota; Metazoa; Arthropoda; Insecta; Diptera; Ceratopogonidae.
UACAAAAUUUCAAUUUCACAACUAUAUAUGCACAUCCUGACCUUGGCCUUGUGAAAAAGAUUCUUGCUGCGCGUCCAUUGCAGGCUCGGGGCUUGCAACUAAAAAGUAUUGCGAUCGUCGUGAAAAAUUUUCGUUGAGGAAAAUUCGCGAAAAAAAGUAACGUUCAGGAAAAUGAGCGACCUUGAAAAGGGAAAAGUAAAAUUAACGAAAUUGUGAUAUUACAUCAAUAAACCAAUAAUUUUAUUAUUUAGCUCGUGUGUGAGUGUGGGUAAGAAGCCGCAAAAGUAUACAUGGAUUAGAUCAAAUAUAGAACGUUAGACUGGAUCAAAGUAAUAAUGUUUUGUGGAUUUUUCAUUGAUAUCUCCGAAGUUACAGGGUUAAAUUUCACAGAAGAUAAUCCUAUCGAAAGAAUUUACAAAAGGCUUCGCUGUCAAAAAACAUUG